UAAUAAUAAUAAUAAUAAUAAUAAUAAUAAUAAUAAUAAUAUGUUUCAUUAUUGUUAUUAUUAUUGUUAUUAUUAUUUUUUAUCUGUUGCAUUGAUGACUAUCAGUAGUGUUAUAUAUGUCUUUUUGACCACCUGUGCAGAUCCAUCUGUAUCUUUUCACAGAACUGUCUGGUGAUUCUGAUGUUUGUUUCUUCGACAACAUAUCAAGGUCAGACACACAGUUGUUGACUAGGUCUUCAACAGACAGAGAGGAUACAAAAACUCAGCCCUCCUUGCCACCUUAGGACAUACUGCUGUAUUUUAUUGCUCAACUGGGAAUAGUAAAAGGAGAAAAGGACUGGUGGAAGUUCAGGAGCCUGAGGAUCAACAUGAAGGAAACCAUCUUAAACCCAGAGCAAGAAACAUAAAUUCACUUGGCUGUCCCUUAUCUCUAAGGCACCUGAUGCGUAAGUGGACUAGAGAAAGGAAAGAAAGAACAACUCUAAAGACCUACAGAUCAUCUUGCUGGAAGGGUGAGUAAAUGCACCUGAGUCUCAGUUUUGCAUUAGAUACACAACAAAUGAACCUGUUUUUAGAGGUGCCUCAGGAAUUUCCUCUCCAUUAUUUUUUGAGAAAAAGAUUAUAAAAUUUUCCCCCAUUUCCAGUUGUCUCACAUGUGUGUAGAAGUAUAAAGACAGACACCUCCUAUAUUUUCAGUUUAAGCCUAGAACAUUGAUUUAAUACAGUUUUUGGGUUUUUUUUUGUUUGUUUGUUUCUUUUUGGUUUGGUUUUGCUACGUAGUACU
This 784-nucleotide long non-coding RNA is filed under the name Anas platyrhynchos platyrhynchos (common mallard). RNAcentral's name for it is "lncRNA (ENSAPLG00000023699.1)". Lineage: Eukaryota; Metazoa; Chordata; Aves; Anseriformes; Anatidae. The record is from RNAcentral.